UUGGGGAGGGAGGAAAGUCCGGGCUCCACAGGACAGAGUGCCAGGUAACGCCUGGGAGGCGCAAGCCUACGGAAAGUGCCGCAGAGAGUAGACCGCCUAAAUCAUUCCUUGGAAUGGUCGGUAAGGGUGAAAGGGUGCGGUAAGAGCGCACCGCAUCGCUGGUAACAGCGCAUGGCAGGGUAAACCCCACUCGGAGCAAGACCAAAUAGGGAUUCUUUGGCGUGGUCCGCGCCGAAUCCGGGUAGGUUGCUUGAGGUGUAUGGUGACAUGCAUCCCAGAUGAAUGGCUGUCAAGGUUUUCAGGAACCUCACAGAACCCGGCUUACAGGCCAUCUUG
Molecule: RNase P RNA, 336 nt
Filed under: uncultured Symbiodinium
Lineage: Eukaryota; Dinophyceae; Suessiales; Symbiodiniaceae
Description: partial Bacterial RNase P class A
Rfam family: Bacterial RNase P class A
About the family: Ribonuclease P (RNase P) is a ubiquitous endoribonuclease, found in archaea, bacteria and eukarya as well as chloroplasts and mitochondria. Its best characterised activity is the generation of mature 5'-ends of tRNAs by cleaving the 5'-leader elements of precursor-tRNAs.
Source: RNAcentral